CCUACGGGAGGCAGCAGUCGAGGAUAGUNUNCAAUGGCCGAAAGGCUGAUAGUGNGACGCCGCGUGAACGAGGAAGCAUUUCGGUGUGUAAAGUUCUUUUCUAUGNAGCAGUGGAUUUAAUGGAAUAAUGUUAAGUCAGAGAUAUUACUAUAGG
Molecule: ribosomal RNA, 154 nt
Filed under: uncultured bacterium
Lineage: Bacteria
Description: partial 16S ribosomal RNA
Rfam family: Bacterial small subunit ribosomal RNA
Source: RNAcentral